Pogoniulus pusillus (Red-fronted tinkerbird) is the source of this 1529-nucleotide long non-coding RNA. RefSeq lists it as uncharacterized. NCBI's taxonomy places the organism in Eukaryota, Metazoa, Chordata, Aves, Piciformes, Lybiidae. The record is from RefSeq and is a predicted model, not a curated record. The transcript is spliced from 6 exons.
AAGAGCAGAACCCCUAAGCUGUGCCUGACCGGGCAGAAGGAUCCUUCUCUCGUCACUGCUUUGUUCCUGAACUUCUGAGAGCCACAAUAUGUUAGAAAAUUCUCAGGUCCAGCACAGCUGGUGGAUAACUGUGAAGCUUGGAGUGGCUCUGGAUGCUGGACAGCCCUGAAAUGCAGGAAGCCAUUUCUGAUUCUCAUCUGCCAAGUGAUGCCUGCUCUCCUUUGUGCCUGGGAUUCGUGGCCAAGUAAAUAAUGCUGAAGAACAAAGCCACUUUCUCUGCCUGCCACAGGGCAGGGAUGCGAAGAGAGCAGCGAAAGAGAAGGGUGGUUACGAGGCAUGGACAAAGGCUGCGAGACAGACUCCCUCCUCAGAGCCUCAGAAUCGCUGUGGAGAUGAACUCCAUGAGCAUGCAAACAGAGUUUGCACGAUCCACAGGGAGCGCUCCUUUUUCCGAGAGCUGCGGCAAAACAAGCCUGAUACUUCAGCAGAUUUUGAGUGUCAGGCUGAGCUGCAGUCCUGUCUGUGUGACUGAUGCCUCUGAACAACCUUUUCCUCCACCUCCUGCCUUGCCUUUCCCAGGACUCCAGAACCUGCUGUAUUAAUACUACCGUGCCGUUAUCGUCCUGAAGCUGAGAUGCCACGACCAGACAGUCCCAGAGGGAGAGAGCAGAUGAUCCACUGUCAGCUUUGUCAUGUCUGCCACAUGGAAUUUGAAAGUGAGACCACACCUGCAAUACUUCGUCCAGUUUGGGGCUCCCCAGUUCAAGAAAGACAGAGACCUGUUGGAGAGAGCCCAGUGGAGAGCCAUUAGGAUGACUGGGGUACUUGAGCAUCUCCCCUAUGAAAAGAGACUGAAAGCCCUGGGGCUGUUUAGUCUGGAGAAGAGAAGACUGAGAGAUCUGAUCAAUGUGUACAAAGAGUGGAGGGGUAGGUAUCAAGUGAAUGUGGCCAAUCUCUUUUUAGUGGGCAGAAGCAAGAAGAUGAGAAGCAACAGAUACAAACUGGAACACAGAAGGUUUCACCUCAACAUCAAGAGAAAUUUCUUCAUGGUGAGGGUGACCGAGCAGUGGAACAGACUGCCCAGAGAGGUUGUGGAGCUCCUUCCUCUUGAGACUUUCAAAACCAACCUGGAUGCAUUCCUGUGCAGACUACUCUUGGGGAUCCUGCCUUGGCAGGGAGGAUGGAGUGGAUGAUCUCUGGAGGUCCCUUCCAACCUCUAAGGUUCUGUGAUCUUCUUAAACUGUUAUUAAAUACACUGUUACUAAAUGUUAUGUAAAUCAUUAAUAAUUGCAUCCAGGAUUAAAAAUACUGCCAUGCAAGUACUCUUUCAUUGGUAAUGAACAAAGACAAUGAUGAUACAAUGGCUUUUAUUGCCACAGAUGUACUGGAAAAGCAGAACUUUGACACUUUUUGCUGAGUAGAAAGUUAUUAAAUCUGAAGGGAAAAGUCACCCCUAGCUAUAAUGAGCUUUUUGAUCCAGCAACUUCUAAAAGGCAGCCUGCACUUUACCUGACUCAUAUAUUAAAUAA